RNAcentral lists this ribosomal RNA (422 nucleotides) under uncultured prokaryote. Its description in RNAcentral is "bacterial SSU rRNA". It matches the Rfam family "Bacterial small subunit ribosomal RNA", at positions 355 to 774 of the family's 1533-position model. The record is from RNAcentral.
UGAGGAAUAUUGGUCAAUGGACGAGAGUCUGAACCAGCCAAGUCGCGUGAAGGAAGACGGUUCUAUGAAUUGUAAACUUCUUUUGUGCAGGAAUAAAGUGGGUUACGUGUAACCUUUUGUAUGUACUGUACGAAUAAGGAUCGGCUAACUCCGUGCCAGCAGCCGCGGUAAUACGGAGGAUCCGAGCGUUAUCCGGAUUUAUUGGGUUUAAAGGGUGCGUAGGUGGAUUGUUAAGUCUGUGGUGAAAGUUUUCAGCUCAACUGAAAAAUUGCCGUUGAAACUGUCGAUCUUGAGUGCAAAUGAGGUAGGCGGAAUGUGUUGUGUAGCGGUGAAAUGCUUAGAUAUAACACAGAACUCCGAUUGCGAAGGCAGCUUACUGGGAUGCAACUGACACUGAUGCACGAAAGCGUGGGUAUCAAACA